UGGGGAAUAUUGCACAAUGGGCGCAAGCCUGAUGCAGCCAUGCCGCGUGUGUGAAGAAGGCCUUCGGGUUGUAAAGCACUUUCAGCGGGGAGGAAGGGAGUAAAGUUAAUACCUUUGCUCAUUGACGUUACCCGCAGAAGAAGCACCGGCUAACUCCGUGCCAGCAGCCGCGGUAAUACGGAGGGUGCAAGCGUUAAUCGGAAUUACUGGGCGUAAAGCGCACGCAGGCGGUUGAUUGAGUCAGAUGUGAAAUCCCCGGGCUUAACCCGGGAAUUGCAUCUGAUACUGGUCAGCUAGAGUCUUGUAGAGGGGGGUAGAAUUCCAUGUGUAGCGGUGAAAUGCGUAGAGAUGUGGAGGAAUACCGGUGGCGAAGGCGGCCCCCUGGACAAAGACUGACGCUCAGGUGCGAAAGCGUGGGGAGCAAACAGG
RNAcentral lists this ribosomal RNA (429 nucleotides) under Chloroflexota bacterium. RNAcentral's name for it is "Chloroflexi bacterium partial 16S ribosomal RNA". It matches the Rfam family "Bacterial small subunit ribosomal RNA", at positions 355 to 776 of the family's 1533-position model. The record is from RNAcentral. Lineage: Bacteria; Bacillati; Chloroflexota.